UACGUAGGUGACGAGCGUUGUCCGGAUUUACUGGGCGUAAAGAGCGCGCAGGCGGUCGUUCAAGUCGAGUGUGAAAGCCCCCGGCUCAACUGGGGAGGGUCACUCGAUACUGAUCGACUCGAAGGCAGGAGAGGGAAGUGGAAUUCCCGGUGUAGUGGUGAAAUGCGUAGAUAUCGGGAGGAACACCAGUGGCGAAGGCGACUUCCUGGCCUGUUCUUGACGCUGAGGCGCGAAAGCUAGGGGAGCAAACGGG
Molecule: ribosomal RNA, 253 nt
Filed under: uncultured bacterium
Lineage: Bacteria
Description: partial 16S ribosomal RNA
Rfam family: Bacterial small subunit ribosomal RNA
Source: RNAcentral